RNAcentral lists this ribosomal RNA (492 nucleotides) under uncultured bacterium. RNAcentral describes it as "partial 16S ribosomal RNA". It matches the Rfam family "Bacterial small subunit ribosomal RNA", at positions 29 to 507 of the family's 1533-position model. The record is from RNAcentral.
AGUGAACGCUGGCGGUAGGCCUAACACAUGCAAGUCGAACGGCAGCACAGUAAGAGCUUGCUCUUACGGGUGGCGAGUGGCGGACGGGUGAGGAAUACAUCGGAAUCUACUUUUUCGUGGGGGAUAACGUAGGGAAACUUACGCUAAUACCGCAUACGACCUACGGGUGAAAGCAGGGGAUCUUCGGACCUUGCGCGAUUGAAUGAGCCGAUGUCGGAUUAGCUAGUUGGCGGGGUAAAGGCCCACCAAGGCGACGAUCCGUAGCUGGUCUGAGAGGAUGAGCAGGCAGCAUGGAACUGAGACAAGGGCCAGACUCCUACGGGAGGCAGCAGUGGGGAAUAUUGGACAAUGGGCGCAAGCCUGAUCCAGCCAUACCGCGUGGGUGAAGAAGGCCUUCGGGUUGUAAAGCCCUUUUGUUGGGAAAGAAAAGCAGCAGGUUAAUACCCCGCUGUGCUGACGGUACCCAAAGAAUAAGCACCGGCUAACUUCGUG